RNAcentral lists this ribosomal RNA (497 nucleotides) under uncultured bacterium. RNAcentral's name for it is "partial 16S ribosomal RNA". It matches the Rfam family "Bacterial small subunit ribosomal RNA", at positions 28 to 507 of the family's 1533-position model. The record is from RNAcentral.
GAUGAACGCUGGCGGCGUGCCUAAUACAUGCAAGUCGAGCGAACAGACGAGGAGCUUGCUCCUCUGACGUUAGCGGCGGACGGGUGAGUAACACGUGGAUAACCUACCUAUAAGACUGGGAUAACUUCGGGAAACCGGAGCUAAUACCGGAUAAUCUAUUGAACCGCAUGGUUCAAUAGUGAAAGACGGUUUUGCUGUCACUUAUAGAUGGAUCCGCGCCGCAUUAGCUAGUUGGUAAGGUAACGGCUUACCAAGGCAACGAUGCGUAGCCGACCUGAGAGGGUGAUCGGCCACACUGGAACUGAGACACGGUCCAGACUCCUACGGGAGGCAGCAGUAGGGAAGCGUCCGCAAGGGGCGAAAGCUUGACGGAGCAGCGCCGCGUGAGUGAUGAAGGUCUUCGGAUCGUAAAACUCUGUUAUUAGGGAAGAACAAAUGUGUAAGUAACUAUGCACGUCUUGACGGUACCUAAUCAGAAAGCCACGGCUAACUACGUG